UCCACUAAAUCAUGUAUAUUCGAUCAAAUAUUUCAUAAAUCAUUUUCAUGUAGAUCAUACAAGAUACUUAAUUUAAACAAAAUCAAUUUAGAAACUAAAUCGUAUGCAUGAUCAUACAUACUAGGAGUAAAGGUAACUUACAACUUUUGCCCUAAAAUUUUGUGAAACUCACCAAUCAUGAAAGAUCGACCAAAAUCUUAAACAACUAAGUACUUUAUUAGAUUUCUAUAAAGCAUCAAGUACCCUAAUUAUCUC
This 255-nucleotide long non-coding RNA is filed under the name Elaeis guineensis (African oil palm). Its description in RNAcentral is "long non-coding RNA (EGUI_LNC012487)". Lineage: Eukaryota; Viridiplantae; Streptophyta; Magnoliopsida; Arecales; Arecaceae. The record is from RNAcentral.